CAUGUGUAGCGGUGAAAUGCGUAGAUAUAUGGAGGAACACCAGUGGCGAAAGCGGCUCUCUGGUCUGUCACUGACGCUGAGGCUCGAAAGCGUGGGUAGCGAACAGGAUUAGAUACCCUGGUAGUNCACGCCGUAAACGAUGAGUGCUAGGUGUUAGGCCCUUUCCGGGGCUUAGUGCCGGAGCUAACGCAAUAAGCACUCCGCCUGGGGAGUACGACCGCAGGGUUGAAACUCAAAGGAAUUGACGGGGGCCCGCACAAGCGGUGGAGCAUGUGGUUUAAUUCGAAGCAACGCGAAGAACCUUACCAGGUCUUGACAUCCCGAUGCUAUUCUUAGAGAUAGGAAGUUACUUCGGUACAUCGGAGACAGGUGGUGCAUGGUUGUCGUCAGCUCGUGUCGUGAGAUGUUGGGUUAAGUCCCGCAACGAGCGCAACCCUUAUUGUUAGUUGCCAUCAUUAAGUUGGGCACUCUAGCGAGACUGCCGGUAAUAAACCGGAGGAAGGUGGGGAUGACGUCAAAUCAUCAUGCCCCUUAUGACCUGGGCUACACACGUGCUACAAUGGUCGGUACAACGAGUUGCGAGCCGGUGACGGCAAGCUAAUCUCUGAAAGCCGAUCUCAGUUCGGAUUGGAGGCUGCAACUCGCCUCCAUGAAGUCGGAAUCGCUAGUAAUCGCGGAUCAGCACGCCGCGGUGAAUACGUUCCCGGGCCUUGUACACACCGCCCGUCACACCACGAGAGUUUGUAACACCCGAAGUCGGUGAGGUAACCUUUUAGGGGCCAGCCG
Molecule: ribosomal RNA, 786 nt
Filed under: uncultured bacterium
Lineage: Bacteria
Description: bacterial SSU rRNA
Rfam family: Bacterial small subunit ribosomal RNA
Source: RNAcentral